CCUACGGGAGGCAGCAGUAAGGAAUAUUGGUCAAUGGAGGCAACUCUGAACCAGCCAUGCCGCGUGCAGGAAGACGGACCUAUGGUUUGUAAACUGCUUUUGUAACAGAGAAAACCCUUCUACGUGUAGGAGGCUGAUAGUAUGUUAAGAAUAAGGAUCGGCUAACUUCGUGCCAGCAGCCGCGGUAAUACGAAGGAUCCAAGCGUUAUCCGGAUUCAUUGGGUUUAAAGGGUGCGUAGGCGGUUUUGUAAGUCAGUGGUGAAAUCUCCGGGCUCAACCCGGAAUCUGCCAUUGAUACUGCAGAACUAGAGUACAGAUGACGUUGGCGGAAUGUGUCAUGUAGCGGUGAAAUGCAUAGAUAUGACACAGAACACCGAUUGCGAAGGCAGCUGACGAAACUGCAACUGACGCUGAUGCACGAAAGUGCGGGGAUCAAACAGGAUUAGAUACCCUGGUAGUCCGCACCGUAAACGAUGAAUACUCGAUGUUUGCGAUACACAGCAAGCGUCCAAGCGAAAGCGAUAAGAUUCCACCUGGGGAGUACGCCCGCAAGGGUUGAAACCUUAAAGGAAUUAGGAGACGNGAGAGNGCGACGGACGACGACGAGGGAGGAGG
Molecule: ribosomal RNA, 615 nt
Filed under: uncultured bacterium
Lineage: Bacteria
Description: bacterial SSU rRNA
Rfam family: Bacterial small subunit ribosomal RNA
Source: RNAcentral